Molecule: ribosomal RNA, 517 nt
Filed under: Candida albicans
Lineage: Eukaryota; Fungi; Ascomycota; Pichiomycetes; Serinales; Debaryomycetaceae
Description: eukaryotic LSU rRNA
Rfam family: 5.8S ribosomal RNA (bases 170-323)
Source: RNAcentral
UCCGUAGGUGAACCUGCGGAAGGAUCAUUACUGAUUUGCUUAAUUGCACCACAUGUGUUUUUCUUUGAAACAAACUUGCUUUGGCGGUGGGCCCAGCCUGCCGCCAGAGGUCUAAACUUACAACCAAUUUUUUAUCAACUUGUCACACCAGAUUAUUACUAAUAGUCAAAACUUUCAACAACGGAUCUCUUGGUUCUCGCAUCGAUGAAGAACGCAGCGAAAUGCGAUACGUAAUAUGAAUUGCAGAUAUUCGUGAAUCAUCGAAUCUUUGAACGCACAUUGCGCCCUCUGGUAUUCCGGAGGGCAUGCCUGUUUGAGCGUCGUUUCUCCCUCAAACCGCUGGGUUUGGUGUUGAGCAAUACGACUUGGGUUUGCUUGAAAGACGGUAGUGGUAAGGCGGGAUCGCUUUGACAAUGGCUUAGGUCUAACCAAAAACAUUGCUUGCGGCGGUAACGUCUACCACGUAUAUCUUCAAACUUUGACCUCAAAUCAGGUAGGACUACCCGCUGAACUUAAG